AAAUAGAUACCCGGGUAGUCCACGCCGUAAACGAUGGAUACUAGUUGUUGGAGGACUCGACCCCUUCAGUGACGACGCUAACGCAUUAAGUAUCCCGCCUGGGGAGUACGGUCGCAAGAUUAAAACUCAAAGGAAUAGACGGGGACCCACACAAGCGGUGGAGCACCUGGCUUAAUUCGAUACUGAGCGAGGAACCUUACCUGGACUUGACAUCCCGAGAAUUCUCUAGAAAUAGGGAAGUGCCUUCUGGAACUCGGUGACAGGUGCUGCAUGGUUGUCGUCAGCUCGUGCCUUGAGGUGUUCGGUUAAGUCCGUAAACGAGCGCAACCCAUGUCCUGUGUUGUAUUUCUCACAGGAGACUGCCGAUUCAAAAUCGGAGGAAGGUAUGGAUGACGUCAAAUCAGCAUGGCCCUUAUGUCCAGGGCUGCACAGGUGCUACAAUGGAUGGUACAACGGGUAGCAAUGCCGCAAGGCGGAGCCAAUCCUUAAAGCCAUCCCAAGUUCGGAUUGGGGGCUGCAACUCGCCCUAGUG
RNAcentral lists this ribosomal RNA (532 nucleotides) under uncultured bacterium. Its description in RNAcentral is "bacterial SSU rRNA". It matches the Rfam family "Bacterial small subunit ribosomal RNA", at positions 776 to 1322 of the family's 1533-position model. The record is from RNAcentral.